This 90-nucleotide transfer RNA is filed under the name Limnohabitans sp. RNAcentral describes it as "tRNA-Ser". It matches the Rfam family "tRNA". Rfam says of the family: Transfer RNA (tRNA) molecules are approximately 80 nucleotides in length. Their secondary structure includes four short double-helical elements and three loops (D, anti-codon, and T loops). The record is from RNAcentral. RNAcentral also lists the same sequence under 1 other name. Lineage: Bacteria; Pseudomonadati; Pseudomonadota; Betaproteobacteria; Burkholderiales; Comamonadaceae.
GGAAGCGUGGCAGAGUGGUUGAAUGCACCGGUCUUGAAAACCGGCGAAGGUUUACGCCUUCCGUGAGUUCGAAUCUCACCGCUUCCGCCA